This is a long non-coding RNA of Alnus glutinosa, 943 nucleotides long. RefSeq lists it as uncharacterized. The transcript has 3 exons. The record is from RefSeq and is a predicted model, not a curated record. NCBI's taxonomy places the organism in Eukaryota, Viridiplantae, Streptophyta, Magnoliopsida, Fagales, Betulaceae.
UUUGCACGCCCAUCUCCUUUCUUCUUCUUCUUUCUUCUAUUCUUCUUCCUCCUUCUCUGUUCUUCUUCGUUCUUCCUUCUUUUGCUCGAGCGACAGAGAGAUGCGAGACAGAGAGAGAGAUCGAGAUACUGAGAGGGAAAGAGAGACAGUGAGACACGGAGAUGGAGGACCCGAUCAGUGGGUCGGCGACGGUGGAACCAGAAGACGGCGACGACGACGACUCGAUUUCUGGUGGCCAGAAGUCGAUUUCCGGCGUGGCAAAGUGAUUUCCGGCGGAACGCAGACCCAAUUUCUGGCGAACCCGUGCGUUGAAACCCGUCUAACCCGUGAGACCCGAGAACCCGUUGAACCCGAUCCUCCAUGAUCGGCGGCCGGGGCUGAAAUCUGGCUGUCCCUUUAGCAGUUUCCGGCGAAGACCCGUAGCCUAGACCCGCAACCCGUGAGCUCAGACCCGCGACCCAGUGACCCGAGCAACCUAGAACCCGACGGCUUGAAGCUGGUUUUUCCGGUGAAUUUCCGGCGACUUCCAGUGGCGUUUUUCGGCGGAUUUAUUGAGGAAAAUCCCCAAGGAUCGUGUUAUAAUUGGAGACUUCAAUGGGUUCUCCAAUGUAGAGUUUGAGUAAUUGGAAUCCAGUGGAAGUUCGAGUCAGGAGUCUAAUGCAGCCAAGAUGAUGUUUCUUUGGCUGCAGGUACUCGGUAUAGUUGAUGGGUUAAUAGUAGUGUGCUCGGGAUAUUAUGACUGAAGCUUGCCGCGACGGUUGUAAUUGUCGGACCACGGGUUGUCCACUAUUUGAUAGGUCAGGUAUAUGGCUUGUGACGUUUAUGUCACUUAUUCUUUGUAUGGCCAUAAUUGUUAUGUAAAUAUAGUGUUAAUAAGACUCAAACAGAUAGAUGUUAAAUGGCUCUUUGUUGUAAUGAAUUAGUUUGUUAUAGAUGUAUAAGU